Molecule: ribosomal RNA, 460 nt
Filed under: uncultured bacterium
Lineage: Bacteria
Description: partial 16S ribosomal RNA
Rfam family: Bacterial small subunit ribosomal RNA
Source: RNAcentral
CCUACGGGUGGCAGCAGUGAGGAAUAUUGGUCAAUGGGCGCGAGCCUGAACCAGCCAAGUCGCGUGAGGGAUGACGGUCCUACGGAUUGUAAACCUCUUUUGCCGGGGAGCAAGCGUGCGUUCGUGAACGCACGUCGAGAGUACCCGGAGAAAAAGCAUCGGUUAACUCCGUGCCAGCAGCCGCGGUAAUACGGAGGAUGCGAGCGUUAUCCGGAUUUAUUGGGUUUAAAGGGUGCGUAGGCGGGAUGCCAAGUCAGCGGUAAAAAUGCGGUGCUCAACGCCGUCGAGCCGUUGAAACUGGCGCUCUUGAGUGGAAGAGAAGUAUGCGGAAUGCGUGGUGUAGCGGUGAAAUGCAUAGAUAUCACGCAGAACCCCGAUUGCGAAGGCAGCAUGCCGGCUUCCGACUGACGCUGAAGCACGAAAGCGUGGGGAUCGAACAGGAUUAGAUACCCUGGUAGUC